GACGAAGGUGGCUAGCGUUGUUCGGUGUCACUGGGCUUAAAGAGUAUGUAGGCGGAAUAGUAAGCGUCUUGUGAAAUCCCUCGGCUUAACCGAGGAAUUGCUGGGCGAACUAUUAUUCUUGAGGCAAGUAGGGGUGCAUGGAACUCUUGGUGGAGCGGUGGAAUGCGUAGAUAUCAAGAGGAACGCCAAUGGAGAAAUCAGUGCACUGGGCUUGUCCUGACGCUGAGAUACGAAAGCGUGGGUAGCGAACGGGAUUAGAUACCCCGGUAGUCCACGCCGUAAACGAUGUCUACUAGGUUGCGGAUGUUCUGACACAGUCGCGACCGAAGCAAAAGUGUUAAGUAGACCGCCUGGGGAGUACGGUCGCAAGGCUAAA
RNAcentral lists this ribosomal RNA (376 nucleotides) under uncultured bacterium. RNAcentral describes it as "bacterial SSU rRNA". It matches the Rfam family "Bacterial small subunit ribosomal RNA", at positions 524 to 898 of the family's 1533-position model. The record is from RNAcentral.